GUUUUUUUUAACAAUUCGGUGAAUUCCAAUUGCAAAAACUAAGAACUUUUGAACUUGGAAUCAACUUACUGUAAGAUUUUUGAUUUUGUUUUGUUCCAGAAAAAAAACAAAUGUGUGUGUAUUGAAAUAGUUGUAUGAAAUUUCGUUUUGACAAAUAUUUCAUUUUAUUAUGCUAUGUGUAUGAUUGUCUUAACACGCUUUUCCAGGAUUAGUUAAGUGUAUGAAAAAUAUGCAGGUUUGUAAAACCUCACAUAGAUGGCGCUGUUACUGCUAAGAUGUUAAGAUGUUUGUACAGCAUUUGAUUUUGUUUUUAUCUUUAAGACUACUUUCAGUAAGUAUUUCAUGAAAUAUGUUUCUGAAAAAGAAACCAUUAUUUAAAGCUAAAAUUCUUCAACAAGAAACAAAUUAUUUACAGUUAUUUAAGUGCUGUUAUUUUCACAUACAUAUUCAUUAUGUUUUCAAGUCUCCAAAUCUUUUAUCGGGUGUUGAAGCUAUAAAAAGAUUUUAGCAGUUUAGGAAACUGUUUAGGGCUAUCAUCAUAAUGCUAGUUUAGGAAGCUGUUAUAUUGAUAAUAUUAGCGAACCCAUAAUUUUACGAAACUGUUCAGGAAUAUCAUCAUAAUUGUAUUCAACCCAUCAGUUCAGGAAUUUAUUUAGGAUUAUCAUCCAGUGAAACCAUAAGUUUAGGAAGUAAUUCAGCGUAAUGCUAAUGAAUCCAUAUAUUUAGGAAACUGUUUAGGGUUAGCUUACUAACGCUAGUCCAUUAAUUUAGUAAAUUGUUUAGAGUUAGCUUCCCAAUGCUAGCCCAUUAAUUUAAGAAUUUAUUUAGGGCUGUCAUCCAGUGAAACCCUAAGUUUAGUAAACUGUUUAGGGUUAGCUUCCCAAUGCUAACCCAUUAAUUUAAGAAUUUAUUUAGGGCUAUCUUCCAGUGAAAUAUUAAGUUUAGUAAACUGUUUAGGAUUAGCUUCUUAACGCUAGCCCAUUAGUUUAGUAAACUGUUUAGGGUUAGUUUCCUAACGUUAUCCCAUUAGUUUAGUAAACUGUUUAGGAUUAGCUUCUUAACGCUAGCCCAUUAGUUUAGUAAACUGUUUAGGGUUAGCUUCCUAACUCUAGUGAAACUUUGAAUUUGUGAAGCUCUUUAGGGUUAUCUUCUUAAUGCUAUUAAACACAUUAGUUUAUUAAGCUGUUUACUGUUAUCAUCGUAAUUUUAGUAAAUCAUGCAUAAGUAUAAAGAACCCAUUAGUUGAGGAAUUUGUUUAUGGUUCUCAUCCUAACGUUAGUGAACCCAUGCUUCAUCUAAGCAGUGAAUUAUUAUCUAAUUCUAACUUAUCUAAUUAUUUUGCAAGUUCUUAUAUCAAUAUUUUAGGCUUAGCUUCUAUAUAUCGGUACUGGUUUAGUUUUUCACAGUGCGGUCCUGUACUCUAAAAUAAAUGGCCCAUGGUUAACGUCAGUCACGUGAUCAUGCACUGGAAUGCAAGUCUGUGUCUGAGAUAGUCUUGGCAGCAAACUGCACAUAUUCUUUGCUCAACUGCAAUCAUCAAAGUGCCUUUAUAAUUUUCCUGUUGGGCUACAACCCGGCACAGAGGACAAUUUUAGUGUACAAACAUUUCGCGUGAGAGAAGUAUCGUGUGAAUACAGCAAACCUAUGUUUCUGUUUACAUUGCUGCAAAUUCACGUUUCUGUUUAUAUUACUACAAACUUACGCUUCUAUUUAUAUUACUACAAACUUACGCUUCUGUUUAUAUUACUAGAAACUUACGCUUCUGUUUGUAGUACUACAAACUUACGCUUCUGUUUAUAUUACUACAAACUUACGCUUCUGUUUGCAUUACUACAAACUUACCCUUCUGUUUACAUUACUACAAACUUACGCUUUUGUUUGUAAUACUACAAACUUACGCUUCUGUUUAUAUUACUACAAACUUACGAUUCUGUUUACAUUACUAGAAACUUACGCUUCUGUUUACAUUACUAGAAACUUACGCUUCUGUUUGUAGUACUACAAACUUACGCUUCUGUUUAUAUUACUACAAACUUACGCUUCUGUUUACAUUACUACAAACUUACGCUUUUGUUUACAUUACUACAAACUUGCGCUUCUGUUUAUAUUACUACAAUCUUACGCUUUUGUUUGUAGUACUACAAACUUACGCUUCUGUUUGUAGUACUACAAACUUACGCUUCUGUUUACAUUACUACAAACUUAUAUCUCUACUUAUAUUGUUACUUAACUGGCCUCCAGUGAUUACGUUUAUUUGUGGUUGUUUAAUCUCGAUAUUUUGAAUCAUUUUACUGACUUCUCAGGAUUGAUUGUUUGUAUGUAAUAAUGUUCUUAAUAACCUUUGUUCUGACUUAGAGUGAGCAGUACUUAAGCUAACGCUAAUAUUGUGAUUCCAGUUCUUGUCCUUUUACAGAUCAAUGACAAGUUAACAUGGUAUCGAACAUGGUUUAGUGUUGCCCGUUGGUGCUUGUAAGGGCAUUAAGGUUGGCUUAAAUAGUCGCCAUGACAACAUACUGUAGUUGAUUAUAUGUAGGCGUAUUCUGGAAAAUAUGAACCUUAGGAUUGGUUGUCUUGGCUAUGACGUAUCUGGUUGUUUUCUGGAGUGUAUUACAGAAUGUUAAGCAAUAAAACUGAUUUAACUCGUCAUGACGACAUAUCUCAUUAUUUUCAGAUGUGCAGUGGACAAUAGGCACCGGUAGGGUUGUUUUUCAGGACGACAUAGUUCGUUAUUUUCAGGUGUUUAACGGAGAAUAGGCACCUAUAGGGUUGGUUGUCAUGACGACACAUUUCGUUAUUUUCAGGUGUUUAAUGGAGAAUAUACGCCGACAGAUGUCGUUAUUUUAAUGGAGAAAAUGCACCGGUAGGGUUGGUUGUCAUGACGACGUUAUUUUAAUGGAGAAUAUGAAGCAAUAAGGUAUUAUGUCCAUAACUUCUUGAGUAGAACUAGUUAACGAAAAACGUACUAAAACAAUGUCUGUGUAUCUGAAAAGCACUAAGCACUAGUGUUAUAUUCUUGUCGUGAAUAUGCGCUUGGUUGUCCACGUUAAAUAAAAAAUUUGGGCGCACGUUCUAACCUCGAGUGUACUCCCAUUUUUAUGGAGGUUUUGAACAAAAACGGGUGCUGUAUUUUAUUUAUUUAUUUAUUUUUUGGAGGGGAGAGAGAGAGAAGAAGAAGAAGCUCACCAUAACAACAACGUGGGUUACCCUAUUUAAUGAAAUACAAUUUAAAUUGACGUUUCUUUUCUGAAUAAAAAGAUAAGAAGGAAUAUGGCCCUUUAACUCCACCGUAUUUUUGAAUAUUAUACUUGUACCUCGUGAGUCUAACACGUAAAAUAAUAAUAUUAUCUUUAACAUAAAAUAUAAGGUACAAAGAAAUAUACUGUCAAUAUUUACUGGAGUUUGACAAAGUUUAGUACAAAAUCUUAUUAGCGUAGUUAUAUGAAUAGACAUUCUGUAUGCAUAUCAAUUGUUAACCUUUUACCCUCUAGAUAUCACUCUAUUAACCCUAUUAUAGAUUCAAUUAAAUAUUAGGGUUAGUCUUUUUCGAUAUUCUCUUGUCUUUGAUUAGAUGUAAUCGGAUUUAAACCCUCACAUUCACAAUUUCCUAAACUUGAUAGAUUUUAAGAACUGCAACUUGAAUAUUAGCGAGUGACUUAUAUCCAGUAGUGAAUACAUAAACGUUUUUUUUUAAAUAUAUUAUUAAUACUUUACAUAAGCUGGUUUUGGUUUCAUUUCUUCCCACAAUCAUUGAAGGUUGUUUUAUAAGGUGUGGAAGUUAAGUGAAUCCACACGGAUAUAAGACAAAAUAUAUGCACUGAAUUUGAACUGAACUGUAAGAUAAUAUGAAUCGUUAUUUGUUAUUUUAUAUUCAUCGCUGCUUGUACAGAUUUUAACGUUAUUUAAUAAAUCCAAUUUUCAUCACA
This is a long non-coding RNA of Limulus polyphemus (Atlantic horseshoe crab), 3923 nucleotides long. RefSeq lists it as uncharacterized. The transcript is spliced from 2 exons. The record is from RefSeq and is a predicted model, not a curated record. Lineage: Eukaryota; Metazoa; Arthropoda; Merostomata; Xiphosura; Limulidae.